UUUAUGGAGAGUUUGAUCCUGGCUCAGGAUGAACGCUGGCGGCGUGCCUAAUACAUGCAAGUCGAGCGAACGGACGAGAAGCUUGCUUCUCUGAUGUUAGCGGCGGACGGGUGAGUAACACGUGGAUAACCUACCUAUAAGACUGGGAUAACUUCGGGAAACCGGAGCUAAUACCGGAUAAUGUUUUGAACCGCAUGGUUCAAAAGUGAAAGACGGUCUUGCUGUCACUUAUAGAUGGAUCCGCGCUGCAUUAGCUAGGUGGGAAGGUAACGGCUUACCAAGGCAACGCUGCCUAGCCGA
RNAcentral lists this ribosomal RNA (300 nucleotides) under Staphylococcus argenteus. Its description in RNAcentral is "partial 16S ribosomal RNA". It matches the Rfam family "Bacterial small subunit ribosomal RNA", at positions 1 to 290 of the family's 1533-position model. Lineage: Bacteria; Bacillati; Bacillota; Bacilli; Caryophanales; Staphylococcaceae. The record is from RNAcentral.